GAUGAACGCUGGCGGCGUGCCUAAUACAUGCAAGUCGAGCGAACGGACGAGAAGCUUGCUUCUCUGAUGUUAGCGGCGGACGGGUGAGUAACACGUGGAUAACCUACCUAUAAGACUGGGAUAACUUCGGGAAACCGGAGCUAAUACCGGAUGAUAUUUUGAACCGCAUGGUUCAAAAGUGAAAGACGGUCUUGCUGUCACUUAUAGAUGGAUCCGCGCUGCAUUAGCUAGUUGGUAAGGUAACGGCUUACCAAGGCAACGAUGCAUGACCGACCUAGAGGGUGAUAGGCCACACGAGAACGGAGACACGGUCAAGACUCCUACGGGAGGCAGCAGUAGGGAAUCUUCCGCAAUGGGCGAAAGCAUGACGGAGCAACGCCGCGUGAGUGAUGAAGGUCUUCGGAUCGUAAAACUCUGUUAUUAGGGAAGAACAUAUGUGUCAGUAACUGUGCACAUCUUGACGGUACCUAAUCAGAAAGCCACGGCUAACUACGUG
Molecule: ribosomal RNA, 496 nt
Filed under: uncultured bacterium
Lineage: Bacteria
Description: partial 16S ribosomal RNA
Rfam family: Bacterial small subunit ribosomal RNA
Source: RNAcentral